This is an RNA transcript of Fundulus heteroclitus (mummichog), 523 nucleotides long. It is a transcript of the gene named caspase-1-A, with no coding region annotated. The record is from RefSeq and is a predicted model, not a curated record. Lineage: Eukaryota; Metazoa; Chordata; Actinopteri; Cyprinodontiformes; Fundulidae. The transcript is spliced from 3 exons.
CUGAGAAAAGGAUAAAAGUACAAUGAACAGGUCUUCUCCAACGAUAGCUUUUGGUGAAAGGUGUGCGCUGCAGUCAACAUCCCUAGCGUUGCAAGUCAUUGCUACAGGCUUCUGCAAUGUUAGCGGUUACAUAAGGUACACUCAUGGCGAUUAGGACAAGCUUUGUGGACAGAUGUCCCAAAGAAGUAAUAAAUCAGCUCCUGGAUGACUUACUGUUGGAUGGCAUCAUCAAUGAUGGGGUGAAAGAAUCAAUACUGGAGGAGAACAAGAGCCGCGCGGACAAGGCUCGCGAUCUCAUUGAUGUAGUUCGUAAGAGAGGAGAUGUACCCAGCAUGGCGUUGAUCAAUCACCUUCAACAGAGAGAUCCUAUGCUCCACGCGCUGCUGCUGUAACUUUGAAGGGGAAAUGAUGUGUGUUCAUCCCAGCUGAUGGCGCCCUGCAGACUGAAGAAAUCUACAAUCAAAAUGAAUUAUCAUGAAUGGCUAUGUAGUGUUUUAAAUAAAUAUGGUCAGAUUUCAAAUAU